AGAGCGAACGCUGGCGGCAUGCUUAACACAUGCAAGUCGCACGGGCAGGGGAAACCCUGUCAGUGGCGGACGGGUGAGUAACGCGUAGGUAUCUAUCCUUGGGUGGGGGAUAACGGUUGGAAACGACUGCUAAUACCGCAUGAUAACUGAGGUUUAAAGGCGCAAGUCGCCUGGGGAGGAGCCUGCGUACGAUUAGCUUGUUGGUGGGGUAAAGGCCUACCAAGGCGACGAUCGUUAGCUGGUCUGAGAGGAUGAUCAGCCACAUUGGGACUGAGACACGGCCCAAACUCCUACGGGAGGCAGCAGUGGGGAAUAUUGGACAAUGGGCGAAAGCCUGAUCCAGCAAUGCCGCGUGUGUGAAGAGGUCUUCGGAUUGUAAAGCACUUUCGACAGGGACGAUGAUGACGGUACCUGUAGAAGAAGCCCCGGACUAACUUCGUGCCAGCAGCCGC
Molecule: ribosomal RNA, 452 nt
Filed under: uncultured bacterium
Lineage: Bacteria
Description: SSU rRNA
Rfam family: Bacterial small subunit ribosomal RNA
Source: RNAcentral